UACGUAGGGUGCGAGCGUUAAUCGGAAUUACUGGGCGUAAAGUGUGCGCAGGCGGCCGAGCAAGUCGAGUGUGAAAGCCCCGAGCUUAACUUGGGAACUGCGCUCGAAACUACUUGGCUAGAGUGUGGCAGGGGGAGGUGGAAUUCCACGUGUAGCGGUGAAAUGCGUAGAUAUCGUAAGGAAGACCAGUGGCGAAGGCGGGUCUCUGGACAGUUCCUGACGCUGAGGCACGAAGGUCAGGGGAGCAAACGGG
RNAcentral lists this ribosomal RNA (253 nucleotides) under uncultured bacterium. Its description in RNAcentral is "partial 16S ribosomal RNA". It matches the Rfam family "Bacterial small subunit ribosomal RNA", at positions 524 to 776 of the family's 1533-position model. The record is from RNAcentral.